This is a long non-coding RNA of Aquila chrysaetos chrysaetos, 162 nucleotides long. RefSeq lists it as uncharacterized. The record is from RefSeq and is a predicted model, not a curated record. The transcript is spliced from 3 exons. Lineage: Eukaryota; Metazoa; Chordata; Aves; Accipitriformes; Accipitridae.
GGGGAGGUUGUUCCGGGAGUUUGUGGAAUCUCCCUUCUUGGAGAUAUUCAAAAGCCAUCUGGACAUGUUCCUGGGCAACCGGCUCUAGGUAGCCCUGAUUGAGCAGGGGGUUGGACAAAAUGACCUCCAGAGGUCCCUUCCAACCUCAACCUUUCUGUGAUU